AACCCAUUGUUACAUUAUUAGACGGAAAGACCCCAAGAGCUUUUUUUGUGUUAGAUUUGUUUGGGGUAAAUGUAGAUUAUUCAUUUAUUUUCAGAUCCUUCGUGGAUAAAGGAUAAAGUUACCUUGGGGAUAACUGAGUAAAGGGCAGGGAGAGGUCCUAUUGAUCUGUUUAUUACUACCUCGAUGUUGGCUUGUUGAACCUUUUCGGUGUAGAGGCUGGAAAAGGAAGUCUGUUCGACUUUUAAAUCUUCAUGAGUUGAGUUAAGACCGGUGUAAGCCAGGUUGGUUCUUAUCUAUAAUUGGUUCUAAUUAGUACGAAAGGAUUAUUAGGAUACAGUGUUUCUGUACAUAUAGGAAUAGGGGGUAUACA
Molecule: ribosomal RNA, 370 nt
Filed under: Schistosoma mansoni
Lineage: Eukaryota; Metazoa; Platyhelminthes; Trematoda; Strigeidida; Schistosomatidae
Description: partial 16S ribosomal RNA
Rfam family: Bacterial large subunit ribosomal RNA (bases 14-300)
Source: RNAcentral